RNAcentral lists this ribosomal RNA (704 nucleotides) under uncultured Actinomycetes bacterium. RNAcentral's name for it is "bacterial SSU rRNA". It matches the Rfam family "Bacterial small subunit ribosomal RNA", at positions 160 to 870 of the family's 1533-position model. Lineage: Bacteria; Bacillati; Actinomycetota; Actinomycetes. The record is from RNAcentral.
GAGCUAAUCCCGCAUACGCCCUUCGGGGGAAAGCCGCAAGGCGCAGGCGGAGGGGCCCGCGGCCCAUCAGGUUGUUGGUGGGGUAACGGCCUACCAAGGCGACGAUCCGUAGCUGGUCUGAGAGGACGAUCAGCCACACUGGGACUGAGACACGGCCCAGACUCCUACGGGAGGCAGCAGUGGGGAAUCUUGCGCUAAUGCGGGAAACCGUGACGCAGCGACGCCGCGUGAGGGAAGAAGGCCUUCGGGUUGUAAACCUCUUUCAGGAGGGACGAAGCUACUCGGGUGAAUAGCCCAGAGGGUGACGGUACCUCCAGAAGAAGCCCCGGCUAACUACGUGCCAGCAGCCGCGGUAAUACGUAGGGGGCUAGCGUUGUCCGGAUUUAUUGGGCGUAAAGAGCGUGUAGGCGGCUAGGUAGGUCCGUUGUGAAAACUCGAGGCUCAACCUCGAGACGUCGAUGGAAACCAUCUAGCUAGAGUCCGGAAGAGGAGAGUGGAAUUCCUGGUGUAGCGGUGAAAUGCGCAGAUAUCAGGAAGAACACCCGUGGCGAAGGCGGCUCUCUGGUACGUGACUGACGCUGAGACGCGAAAGCGUGGGGAGCGAACAGGAUUAGAUACCCUGGUAGUCCACGCCGUAAACGAUGGGUGCUAUGUGUGGGCGGUGUCGACUCCGUCCGUGCCGAAGCUAACGCAUUAAGCACCCC